ACGGCUGCCAGCGUCAUUUUUGUGAUCUGCAGCUAGUAUUCUCACUCCAGUUGCAUAGUCACAAAAGUGAUCACUGGCAGGUGUGGCCGCUGCA
This 94-nucleotide microRNA precursor is filed under the name Bos indicus x Bos taurus (hybrid cattle). RNAcentral describes it as "miRNA (ENSBIXG00000019206.1, ENSBIXG00005021278.1)". The stretch from base 7 to 78 matches the Rfam family "mir-153 microRNA precursor family". RNAcentral also lists the same sequence under 2 other names. The record is from RNAcentral. Lineage: Eukaryota; Metazoa; Chordata; Mammalia; Artiodactyla; Bovidae.